CCUACGGGAGGCAGCAGUAGGGAAUCUUCCACAAUGGACGAAAGCCUGAUGGAGCAACGCCGCGUGGGUGAAGAAGGUUCUCGGAUCGUAAAACUCUGUUGUGAGGGAAGAACAAGUACCGGAGUAACUGCCGGUACCUUGACGGUACCUCAUUAGAAAGCCACGGCUAACUACGUGCCAGCAGCCGCGGUAAU
RNAcentral lists this ribosomal RNA (194 nucleotides) under uncultured Bacillus sp. RNAcentral's name for it is "partial 16S ribosomal RNA". It matches the Rfam family "Bacterial small subunit ribosomal RNA", at positions 338 to 524 of the family's 1533-position model. The record is from RNAcentral. Lineage: Bacteria; Bacillati; Bacillota; Bacilli; Caryophanales; Bacillaceae.